Molecule: ribosomal RNA, 2898 nt
Filed under: Clostridioides difficile
Lineage: Bacteria; Bacillati; Bacillota; Clostridia; Peptostreptococcales; Peptostreptococcaceae
Description: 23S ribosomal RNA
Rfam family: Bacterial large subunit ribosomal RNA
Source: RNAcentral
GGUCAAGUUAUUAAGGGUGCAGGGCGGAUGCCUUGGCACUAGGAGCCGAUGAAGGACGUGAUAAGCUGCGAUAAGCUUCGGGGAGUUGCACGUAAACUUUGAUCCGAAGAUUUCCGAAUGAGGAAACUCACUUAGAGUAAUGUCUAAGUAUCAUUAAGUGAAUACAUAGCUUAAUGAGGGGAACUCAGGGAACUGAAACAUCUAAGUACCUGAAGGAAGAGAAAGAAAUUCGAUUCCGUAAGUAGCGGCGAGCGAACGCGGAUUAGCCCAAACCAAUAAAGUUUUCUUUAUUGGGGUUGCGGACAUAUCAUAACGAAGAGGUAUCGUAAUUGAAGAGGUUUGGAAAGACCCACCACAGAAGGUAAUAGUCCUGUAUGUUAAACGAGAAGACUUCAGAUAUGAUCCAGAGUACCACGGGACACGUGAAACCCUGUGGGAAGCAGGAGGGACCACCCUCCAAGGCUAAAUACUACCUAGUGACCGAUAGCGUAUAGUACCGUGAGGGAAAGGUGAAAAGAACCCCGGGAGGGGAGUGAAAUAGAACCUGAAACCCUGCACUUACAAGCUGUGGAAGCACAUUUCUUGUGUGACCGCGUACUUUUUGUAGAACGGGCCAACGAGUUACGUUAAGUAGCAAGGUUAAGCACUUAAGGUGUGGAGCCGUAGCGAAAGCGAGUUUUAACUGAGCGUUCAGUUACUUGACGUAGACCCGAAACCGGGCGACCUACCCAUGAGCAGGAUGAAGCGAAAGUAAAAUUUCGUGGAGGUCCGAACCCACGAGCGUUGAAAAGCUCGGGGAUGACUUGUGGGUAGCGGUGAAAUUCCAAUCGAGCCCGGAGAUAGCUGGUUCUCCCCGAAAUAGCUUUAGGGCUAGCCUCAAGGUGAGAGAUACGGAGGUAGAGCACUGAAUGUCCUAGGGGGAAUUGCACCUACCGAAGACUAUCAAACUCCGAAUGCCGUCAUCUUAUACUUGGGAGUCAGACUGUGGGUGAUAAGAUUCAUAGUCGAAAGGGCAACAGCCCAGAUCGUCAGCUAAGGUCCCUAAAUGUAAGUUAAGUGGUAAAGGAUGUGGGAUUGCACAGACAACCAGGAUGUUGGCUUAGAAGCAGCCACUCAUUCAAAGAGUGCGUAAUAGCUCACUGGUCGAGUGAUCCUGCGCCGAAGAUUUCCGGGGCUAAAACUUACUACCGAAGCUACGGCAUCAGUAAUGAUGGGUAGGGGAGCUUCCCAUACGGGUUGAAGCAUGACCGUAAGGACAUGUGGACAGUAUGGGAGUGAGAAUGUUGGCAUGAGUAGCGAGAUGUGGGUGAGAAUCCCACAGGCCGUAAACCCAAGGUUUCCAGGGGCAGGUUCGUCCGCCCUGGGUUAGUCGGGACCUAAGCUGAGGCCGAAAGGCGUAGGUGAUGGACAACAGGUUGAUAUUCCUGUACUACCGAUAACCGUUUGAGAGAAGGGAUGACACAGUAGGAUAAGCUAAGCACACUGUUGGUUAUGUGUGCCCAAGCAUUGAGGCAGUCAAAGUAGGCAAAUCCGCUUUGAUAAUGCUGGGAUGUGAUGGGGAGCGAAAUUUAGUAGCGAAGUAGCUGAUUUCACACUGUCAAGAAAAGUCUCUAUCGAGGUUAAAGGUACCCGUACCGCAAACCGACACAGGUGGGUGAGGAGAGUAUCCUAAGGCCAGCGAGAGAACUGUUGUUAAGGAACUCGGCAAAAUGACCCCGUAACUUAGGGAUAAGGGGUGCCACCAUCAGGUGGCCGCAGAGAAUAGGCCCAAGCGACUGUUUACCAAAAACAUAGGUUUCUGCUAAGUCGCAAGACGAUGUAUAGGAGCUGACGCCUGCCCGGUGCUGGAAGGUUAAGGGGAUCUGUUAGAGCAAUCGAAGCAGUGAACUUAAGCCCCAGUAAACGGCGGCCGUAACUAUAACGGUCCUAAGGUAGCGAAAUUCCUUGUCGGGUAAGUUCCGACCCGCACGAAAGGCGUAACGAUUUGGGCACUGUCUCAACAACAGACUCGGUGAAAUUGUAAUUCCGGUGAAGAUGCCGGAUACCUGCGACAGGACGGAAAGACCCCAUGGAGCUUUACUGUAGCUUGACAUUGGGUUUUGGUACUACAUGUACAGGAUAGGUGGGAGGCUUUGAAACCAGGACGCCAGUUUUGGCGGAGCCAUCCUUGGGAUACCACCCUUGUAGUACUGGGACUCUAACCAUAGGCCAUGAAUCUGGUCUUGGGACACUGUCAGGUGGGCAGUUUGACUGGGGCGGUCGCCUCCCAAAAGGUAACGGAGGCGCUCAAAGGUUCUCUCAGUACGGUCGGAAAUCGUACGUAGAGUGUAAAGGCAAAAGAGAGCUUGAUUGCAAGACAUACAGGUCGAGCAAGGAUGAAAAUCGGACUUAGUGAUCCGGUGGUUCUGCGUGGAAGGGCCAUCGCUCAACGGAUAAAAGCUACCCUGGGGAUAACAGGCUUAUCUCCCCCAAGAGUCCACAUCGACGGGGAGGUUUGGCACCUCGAUGUCGGCUCAUCACAUCCUGGGGCUGUAGUAGGUCCCAAGGGUUGGGCUGUUCGCCCAUUAAAGUGGUACGCGAGCUGGGUUCAGAACGUCGUGAGACAGUUCGGUCCCUAUCCGUCGCAGGCGUAGGAAAUUUGAGAAGACCUGUCCUUAGUACGAGAGGACCGGGAUGGACGUACCUCUGGUGUACCAGUUGUUCUGCCAAGGGCAUGGCUGGGUAGCUAUGUACGGAAUGGAUAAGCGCUGAAAGCAUCUAAGCGCGAAGCCAACUUCAAGAUAAGAUUUCCCACCGCAAGGGUAAGACCCCAGAAAGACUAUCUGGUUGAUAGGUCGAAGGUGUAAGUGCAGCAAUGUAUUUAGCUUAUCGAUACUAAUAGGUCGAGGACUUGACCAA